UACGUAGGGUGCGAGCGUUAAUCGGAAUUACUGGGCGUAAAGCGUGCGCAGGCGGUUCGUUGUGUCGGCGGUGAAAGCCCCGGGCUCAACCUGGGAAUGGCCGUUGAAACUGGCGAACUGGAGUGUGGCAGAGGGGGGUGGAAUUCCGCGUGUAGCAGUGAAAUGCGUAGAUAUCUGGAGGAACACCGGUGGCGAAGGCGACGUCCUGGACCGGCAUUGACGCUGAGGCGCGAAAGCCAGGGGAGCAAACAGG
RNAcentral lists this ribosomal RNA (253 nucleotides) under uncultured bacterium. RNAcentral describes it as "partial 16S ribosomal RNA". It matches the Rfam family "Bacterial small subunit ribosomal RNA", at positions 524 to 776 of the family's 1533-position model. The record is from RNAcentral.